This is a small nuclear RNA of Phodopus roborovskii (desert hamster), 110 nucleotides long. NCBI's taxonomy places the organism in Eukaryota, Metazoa, Chordata, Mammalia, Rodentia, Cricetidae. The record is from RefSeq and is a predicted model, not a curated record.
GCUCACUUUGGGGAGGACAUACAGUGAAAAUGGAAAGGGACAGAGAAGGUUAGCAUGGCCCCCAUGCGAGCGAGGAUGACAGGCAAACUCGCCAAGUGUUCUGCAUUUUC